GACGAACCGUGCGAACGUUGUUCGGAAUCACUGGGCUUAAAGGGCGCGUAGGCGGUCUGCACAGUCGGGGUUGAAAUCUUUCGGCUUAACCGGAAAAGUGGCUUCGAUACUAGCAGGCUGGAGGGAGGCAGGGGCGGAUGGAACUUCCGGUGGAGCGGUGAAAUGUGUUGAUAUCGGAAGGAACGCCGGUGGCGAAAGCGAUCCGCUGGACCUCUACUGACGCUGAGGCGCGAAAGCCAGGGGAGCAAACGGG
RNAcentral lists this ribosomal RNA (253 nucleotides) under uncultured bacterium. RNAcentral describes it as "partial 16S ribosomal RNA". It matches the Rfam family "Bacterial small subunit ribosomal RNA", at positions 524 to 776 of the family's 1533-position model. The record is from RNAcentral.